GACAAACGCUGGCGGCGUGUAUGAGACAUGCAAGUCGAACGGGUGACUCGGGCUUGCUCGAGUCGCUAGUGGCGAACGGCUGAGUAACGCGUAGGUGACCUGCCCCGAAGUGGGGAAUAACUGCCCGAAAGGGUGGCUAAUACCGCAUGUGGUCACACAUUCAUUUGUGUGAGGAAAGCCGCAAGGCGCUUCGGGAGGGGCCUGCGUCCGAUUAGCUCGUUGGGUGGUAACGGCUCACCAAGGCGACGAUCGGUAGGUGGUCUGAGAGGACGAUCACCCAGACUGGGACUGAGACACGGCCCAGACUCC
Molecule: ribosomal RNA, 309 nt
Filed under: uncultured bacterium
Lineage: Bacteria
Description: bacterial SSU rRNA
Rfam family: Bacterial small subunit ribosomal RNA
Source: RNAcentral